AACGAUAGAGAUAGAAACCCUAUGAGAGAGAGAAAACCUGGGAUAGAGAUAAAAACCCUAGAAUGCUGAGAAGACAGGGAUUUGAGAGAAAAACUCAGAGACAAAACCCUAACUAACCUAAGCCUGUGAACCCUAGUUCUAAGCCAUUUCCAGGGCACAACCACCUUAUUCAAUUAAGACUCAAAGAGACAAAAGAGAAUCGGUUAUGAUACGGGCAAGCCCUAGAAGGCUCGGGAGUCUCGAGCCAUUCGGCCUUGUUUGGUAUCAUUUUCC
RNAcentral lists this long non-coding RNA (273 nucleotides) under Amborella trichopoda. Its description in RNAcentral is "long non-coding RNA (ATRI_LNC000934)". Lineage: Eukaryota; Viridiplantae; Streptophyta; Magnoliopsida; Amborellales; Amborellaceae. The record is from RNAcentral.